GAUGAACGCUGACAGAAUGCUUAACACAUGCAAGUCAACUGUGGCGGACGGGUGAGUAACGCGUACAGAACUUGCCUCACAGUUAGGGAGCACAUUUGGAAGCGAAUGCUAAUACAUGAUACUUUGAGAGAGCUUUGCGUCCCAUUAGCUAGUUGGAGAGGUAACGGCUCACCAAGGCGAUGAUGGGUAGCCGGCCUGAGAAGGUGAUCGGCCACAAGGGGACAGGGACACGGCCCUUAGUCCUAAGUGCGGCAGGAGUGGGGGAUAUUUGACAACGGACCACAGUCUGAUGCAGCAAUUCUGUGUGCACGAUGAAGUUUUCGGAAUGUAAAGUGUUUUCAGUUGGGAAGCGGUACCAACAGAAGAAGUGACGGCUAAAUACGUGCCAGCAGCCGCGGUAAUAC
This 404-nucleotide ribosomal RNA is filed under the name uncultured bacterium. Its description in RNAcentral is "partial 16S ribosomal RNA". It matches the Rfam family "Bacterial small subunit ribosomal RNA", at positions 28 to 526 of the family's 1533-position model. The record is from RNAcentral.